Molecule: long non-coding RNA, 4678 nt
Organism: Gallus gallus (chicken)
Lineage: Eukaryota; Metazoa; Chordata; Aves; Galliformes; Phasianidae
Source: Ensembl
AUGUCAUAACAAGCAGACCACCCAGCACCAAUUGAGCCACUGAAAAUAAACAUCAAGAUAAUUCAGUAGUAUAUAUGUAUAAUAAAUAUGAUCAUAAGACAAAGAUUUUCUUUCAGCAUCAUUUGAAUUACAUUAAUUAGGUUUGAAUAAUUCCCCAUAAAUUAUUUGCAGACCAGUAGAGCUGAAGUAUGUACCAUCCUAAAUAAUGUGGUUUAUAGCAUAUCCGCUGCCAUAUAAAACCAAUUUGAGAUCUAUUUGGAUAUGAGUAUGUAUAAGUAAUAAUGUUAAACAAGGGAGAAAAUAAUAUAAUGAAGAUAUCAGGAAAAAGUUAGGGAACUCAUUCAAUGAAGAAAUUGAAUAUACCCAAAUUUCUAUGUUUUAGGGAAACUGGAAAAAAAGAGAUUUUUUAAAAGAAAAAACUAAUUUUGAAAGGUUCAGAUAUUUCCCUGCUCCAGUCUGGAGUUCUUGCAAUAUAAGUUUAUUGACUCUUGUGCUGUUUUGAAUUUGUAUGAGGCCAUUCAUAUCAUUUAUGAAAUCUCAUAUAUUACUGUGAAGCACAUAAUGUGGUUAUGUAAAAUGUGGUUUAGUUGCCAAGGAAAAUAGAGAAGAAGAAAAAAAACUUUGGUGUCUUUCGGAGAUUUUAGUAUGCACUGAGCUUUAGAGGAUAAAUAUGAAGCCAAAUCCAACCUCAGUGCUUUGGGUUUGCCCUGAGGCCUAGAAAGAACUUUGUUCUUUAUGUACUCUGCCUACACUCAGAGAUAGAUGCCUAUAGAAUAUUGAGAAGCUAUAUGAAAAGAGAAAGUCAUCAACCACCGUCUUGUCCUACUUCAAAAACACAGACUGGUUAUUUUUGCUGUCAGUCUAUGAAAACUUUGAUUUUUUUCCUACCAGAAAGUAAAGAAAUCAAUAGAGAGUACAGUAUAAUGUGAAAUAAUGUACUGCUGGAUACAUCCUUUCUUAUGGAAAUGAUUUCAGUCAGUCUUCUUUCACAGCAAAUGCUGCAGACUUUACCCAAGACAAAACUAUCCUACUUUCAGGCUCUGUACAUUUACGUAAAAGGGAAGGUUGAAACGAUUUGAAAAGUCCAAAUGAUGGAGAGAGAUUAAGGCAUAUUCUGUGCCCCUUGCAUGAAAGAGCUUUAUAGGAGUGGCAGACAGGAAGGCAAAUCUGUCUGGAGGUAUUAUAUUAUCCAGAGGUAAAUUAGGUGUUAACUGGGUCAAACUGUGCACAGCUGUGCAGAAUUCAGAGCAGUGUGCCAGUGCAGCAGCCCAGCCAGCAGCUCCUUCUCUCACCCAUGGCAGGGAAUAGCAGCUCACAUGUGGAGCAUGAGAAAGGAGACCCUACACAAUUGUUUAGCCUGGAGAAGAGGAGACUCAGGGGACAUCUUACUGCUCUCUACAAUGACCCGAAAGGAGGUUGUAGCAAGGGUUAGGGUUGGCCUCUUCUCCCUGGUGACAACGAUAGGACAAGAGGCAAUUGCCUCAGGUUGCACAAGGGGAGAUUCAAGUUGGAUUUUCUCUUUUCAGAAAGAGUGGUGAGGCAUUGGAGCGGGCUGCUUAGGGAGGUGGUGGAAUCAUUGUGCCUGGAGGUGUUCAAGAAACAUGGAGAUGUGGUACUUAGGGACAUGGUUUAGUGGGCAAUACUGGUGGUAGGUGGAUAGUUGGACUUGAUGAUCUUAGAGGUCUUUUGCUAUCUUAAUGAUUAUAUGAUUCUGGGAAAGACUUUUCAUGAGCAGCCCCCUUGGAAAUGGAGACAAUGGAGUGGAAAACCAAUUUCCAAUGCAAAUAAAUAAAACACUCUUCAAAGCUGAAGAACUGAGUGAGAAAGAAACUAUCCAUAGGAACACUAAUAAUUACUGAUGCUGCUCCUAAAAGCAGAGCUAGGACAGUAAUUCAAUCCACAGCUUAAACAUGAACAGUUCACAUAAAGAUGAAUAGGGAACAACUUUCCUCCUUUCAUCAAGAUAGCAUAUGCUUCAUCAAUACUUAUAAGACAAAGUGUUAUGCUCAGGGGUUUACUGAAGUGGAAAUAACUAUUUUUCUACUUUUAUUACAUCCACAUUCUCCAUUUUUUUUAGACAGACUUGUUGGAAUACAGCUCAUUGGGAGGCACUGACCUUCCCAAAGAUUGCCUCCCAUUAGCUCUUCUUAACAUGCCACAAUAGAGCAUAUUUUAAAGAGCAUCCACAUCAUGAGCAGCGCAUGCCAAUUCAGAAGAGCACAAUCUGCAGCACUGGUGAGGCCAAAAACAGAAUCAAUGGAAGUGAUGCAAAGUCCUUAGCUAAGUUCAAAAUGCUCCACUGGGACUGGUUAUUGAACUCAGCUCUGCUGUUAGAACCUAAGAGUAAUCUAAACACAGAAAAUCUUUUGUAAUGCAACGUUAUCAAACCAAAGUGGAUUUAUGAUUGCUUUGGAGAAGCCAUGUUAUGAAGGGGGAAAAAAAAAAAAAAAAAAAAAAAAAAAAGAUGAGGGAGACUCAAUUAACUGUAAUGCCUUUUCUUAUCACAAGACAGUAAUCUUUUCCCAUGACAGGAAAGAAUGCUUAGGAAAAUAAAACAUGAAGAACAGUUUAGGGCCAAGUCAAAGGAUGAAAAAUCUGUUUGCAAGUCAUAUAAUUACUCUUUUGAAGUUAUCAUUAAGUUCAGUAGUGUGAAUUAAAUAGAGAAAGAGGGAUACUCUUUAAAUGAUUAAUUAUAUCUGAUAUAGACAACCAAGUAUCUGUAGCAAAUGAUUUAUCAAAUUUCUAGUGUAUUGAAGAUAGACUGAAAGCAAAACCCAUAGCCUUAUUCACAAACACUAUGCUGCAAUAUUGGAGAGAUGGGUCCAUCUGAUUAAUGCUGGUUAACUAAAGACAAAUCUCAACAUACAUAAAAGUUUGUUUUCUUUUGCCUAGCAUUUUGAAAGAGUAACAAUACUGCACUCUGAAUAAUUUUGAUUCUACCCUGAGAAUAAAAAUGAACUUGAUAAACUUAGCUCUCUAAGCAUGGAUAACCAAAGCCCUACUCCUUUAUUCGUGUGCUAGCAGAGCUGACCAUUAAAAAUACUCAGCUCCAUAGCUCAUCUCAUAAAUCAACAGAAGGAAGAGUUGUCCACUAUUCCUGGAAGUAAGUUUCAUUUAGGGGAUUUAGGUAAACAUUUUCGGAUCUGCUUUGGCACCCAAGUCAUAGAAUCAUAGAAUCAUAGAAUCAUAGAAUGGCCUGGUUUGGAAGGGACCACAAUGAUCAUCGAGUUUCAACCCCCUUGCUAUGUGCAGGGUCACCAACCACCACACCAGGCUGUUCAGAGCCACAUCCAGCCUGGCCUUGAACGCCUCCAGGGAUGGGGCAUCCACAGCCUCCUUGGGCAACGUAUUCCAAUGCGUCACCACACUCUGUGAGAAAAAACUUCCUCCUAAUAUCUAACCUAAAAUCCAGACACUCAGGCUUUAUCUGCGACUGAGAGCAUUAUUAUCACAUGCAAGGUAAUUAAUCUUGUAUCCCAACAAACCUAACCCAUACAUUUACCUCAUUGGAGACAAGGACCCUUCUUUUUGCAUCUCUGACACAGGAUGAACACUUGAUGCAACAGCACCAAUGUAGAUUCCCCCUUCUCUAUUCUCAGCAGGCUCUUUGCUAGUUUGUCCCUUCUGUUCUGCUCCAGGCACUGAGCAAUUUUGUUUAUGGCUACAGCAGUCCCUGGCUGUCUUGCUUUACACUAGUAAGUGCCUUGUCUGGUUUAUAUAUAUUUUCAGUGCUCCUAAACAACUUGAUGAAGGACAGAUAGCAAAAUAAAGAGGCCAGACCACCAGUCACUGUAAAUUGGAUAGCUCUGUGGAUUCAAGUGAAUUGAAACCAAACUGUACUGAUUCACAAAAUAUGUUUUUUUGUGCUGUGACAUUGUUCUUUGAAUUUCAGUUGUGGCUGCACAGAUUCUUUAUUUUCUGGUUGUCUAUUUAAAAAAGCAGACAUUUCUGUUUGCUGUGCAUAUUCAUUUCAGUACAUAUUUGAAGCCAAAGAGAUCAUCUGGAUCCACAAAUAAAAUGCUUGCAGUCAUUCAUACCCACUCACAAAUACUAUUAGGGUGACCAGAGAUGGAGCCUAAAAUUUAGCUGUCAGAUUUUGUUAAUGGGUUCAUAAAGUAAAAAUUAUAGGCUGACAGCAUCCUCUGUUGGGAAACGUGCCAUUAAGAUAUUCUGAGGUCUCUUAAAAAUUCAGCGAGUGAGAAAAGUGCUGUUAAUACAGUUGGGUGCUUUAGGAUAGCUAUACUUCUUCUAAUUUCCAAACACUAUACAUUACUCUUGAAGUGUGAAUGCAUAUAUUAAUAUCCUGUCUCCCAAGAAGAUGAGUAAAAAUUUUUGGAGCAAAAUAGUAGUUAGACAUAGGCACCAUUUUACAUAGAGAUCUUAUUGAUUCUUCAUCACAAGUAGCCUUGACACAAAGCUUGAUGUCUUCUGGCCCAGGUUAUGGACCUGGUAGGGAAUAUCUUGCAAGUCAUAGAGGUAACGCUAUGCAAAAGGUCACUGAAAUCUUUCCUAAACCAUAAUGCACAGCAAAACAAGGAUAGAGCUGUGAUAAAUACUUUGUAUUAUUACACCCUUAUUUUCCCAUUCAUCUUCAGAUGUUCUGCUUUUCCAUUUUCCUCUAUUUCUUCUGCAUUCUUCAAUUCCCAGUUCUCUCUCUCUCUCUUUUUUUUUUUUUUUU